Molecule: small nucleolar RNA, 94 nt
Organism: Gossypium arboreum
Lineage: Eukaryota; Viridiplantae; Streptophyta; Magnoliopsida; Malvales; Malvaceae
Source: Rfam
GUAGAUGAUGAAGUAUGCACUGGGCUCUGAGGUGACUUCAAAUGAAAUACACUUAAUUUGAUGGAAAUUGCAGCCUAGAAAGCUAGUCUGAUAC